UAAAGAAAGACAGGCAUGCAAGAUCGCUGAAGAGAUGGAAUUUCUGAAGACUAAACCCGGUUUAGUGAGUGGCUGAAUUACAACAUAAAUUGAAUUCCCAAGCUCACAAGAUGUUUGCUGUUAAACAACUGCUCUAUCUCCAUUCAAGGAGGUUAACUGUACUUCACCUGAGGAACUUAUAAUGAGCUCCCCUAAAGCAGUUGCCUCACAAGACGCUAUUGAUUCUCUUCAAGACUUCUCCUCCCCUGCCACCUGUCUUUGCUUCUAGCCCCAUCAGUAGACUCAAGUCUUGCAGUUCCCAAAAGGUAAGGCACACAAUCAGACAUGUAAGGAGAUGUAUUAUAUUCCCAAAACGACUUGAUUUUUCUGGUUCGUAUAAUGGAAAUCUGAAAAUACGUGUAAGAAUGGAUAUUAAGGGCUUGGAAAUUGGAGGAAGGAGUGUAAAGUCAAAUCAGGUACAAUUUAUUGGAAUGGGUCCACUAAGCAGACACUCUGGAUUCAGUGUUGUGAUUUGAGGAGUUAGAAGGGCCUCUAACACUUUGUUAGAUUGGUUGGUUAAAGCAUGGGUUGAAGCAUGAAAAAUGGCCUGUAUUAAAUAAGUUGAAAUGCCAGAAGUGCAUUAGUAUGCUUUAUAGUAUGGUAUCUAAAGUCUUAGGGAAUUGGAAUGUUAGAGUAGAUUUAUCACAUAAGACUUGCUCACCCACCCCUGAAGGUCGCAACUUGUGAGACUGUGAAAAAUAAAUUUUGAGAAGGGCCCUACACCCUUGAAGAACACUGUGGUCAGUCUUCUCUGUAGGUCAGGGAUUACAAGGGGAACUGCUGACACUGAACUGGCGUUCUUAAAUGCAAUGGAUAUAAUUAGAUCCUGGAGUGGCAAGAGCCAAGUGGUGGCACUUAAUGACUAAAGACAAGGUGGGCAUGGUUACCAUAAUGGACAGCAGAGUCAAAGCAAUAAUUAGAACAAUCUGAUUCACAGAUCUGUGGCAUUAGCUAAUUGAUCAUGGUGUUCCUACA
Nyctereutes procyonoides (raccoon dog) is the source of this 1014-nucleotide long non-coding RNA. RefSeq lists it as uncharacterized. The transcript has 3 exons. NCBI's taxonomy places the organism in Eukaryota, Metazoa, Chordata, Mammalia, Carnivora, Canidae. The record is from RefSeq and is a predicted model, not a curated record.